RNAcentral lists this long non-coding RNA (539 nucleotides) under Nicotiana tabacum (common tobacco). RNAcentral describes it as "long non-coding RNA (NTAB_LNC018507)". Lineage: Eukaryota; Viridiplantae; Streptophyta; Magnoliopsida; Solanales; Solanaceae. The record is from RNAcentral.
UUAUAUGCAAACCCUAUAAUUUUGCAUGACAAUAUUAAUAUCUUUGCCAAAGGAGAAUUGCCCUGCCAUUCUUCUCCUCAGUCACUCAGCCUCAAAGAUUGCGCAGAUGGUCAACCUAACAAGUUAGUUGUACGUAAAGGCGGAUUCAAGAUUUGAACUUUAUGGGUUAGGAUUUGGGAUUAUAUCACAACUCAAUUGAUUUAUCAGGUUCGAUUAUUAUUUGUAUUUCGUUGAUGAAUUUUAAUACAUACAGUUUCUGAGCUAAAUAUAUUGGGUUCAAUGGAUCAAUCCUUAACUUAUGCCGAAUUUACGCCUCAUUGCACACACUACUUUCAAUAGCAUGCUCCAUAGAUGCCCAAUCCAACCUUCUGUUUCCACGUUAACAUUAUUUUUCUUUGGGUAUAUUUCUCUUUUAUCGUCUAAUUUAUCGUUGUCCAAUAUUUGCUUUAGUAGCUUCCAUAUGUCCACUUGUUAUUUCAAUCCUAACAAGUACUUCAUUCUGCCAGCUUCAAAGAUGCUUCCUAAGAGGGACACUGCUG